GGUGAUGUUAACAAGACAAUGCUGGGAGAGCACUAGCUUCGCAUGUUAGGGGUCAGGGGUUCGAAUCCCCUUAUCUCCACCA
This 82-nucleotide transfer RNA is filed under the name Caldanaerobius fijiensis DSM 17918. RNAcentral describes it as "tRNA_Pseudo_CGC". Lineage: Bacteria; Bacillati; Bacillota; Clostridia; Thermoanaerobacterales; Thermoanaerobacteraceae. The record is from RNAcentral.